CCCGUUUCAAAAUGCGGUCAAAACGGCGGGCUUGACCGUUCGUAGCUAGUUGUUGAAUCUUGGCGACCUUUUGAUGUUGCUCUGAUUAAAUAGAUACUUAUGUACCUAGAAAUGAUUUUUGGAAAAAAUAAAGAGCAAACUACGAGGUAGCUACGGAUCAAAUUUGACCCGCUUCCACCUGAAUCGGCAGGAAUUUGUCUUUUUCACGAGAGGUGGAUCAAAACUUUUUACACGCAACCAUUUGGUCAAUUGUGCAUUAAAUAUGUCCUAGUAUUUUAGAAAAUUAAUUUGGUACAAUUUUGCGACCAAUAUAUUAUAGGUCCUUCACAAAAAAACUCAUUUCGGGCACUCAAAAAAUGCAAAAUGAAUUUUUCGUCGAAAGAAAGUGAAAACUUUCCUUAGGCAAGAUUGUCUGCCAUUCCAAGAUGCACCCUUGUGCACAAUAUGAGAUCAUUUGAACAAACUAUGUCAUGAAUGUGGCCAUAAGAUUGAUCAUUUGGCUUGAAAGCCAUGAAUCUUCACACUUGAUAGCUCGUUUCUAACUACAAGUUUAUUAUUUUUGCUGGAAACUAGGUCACAUAUGGUGACACAAUGGGAAGGGUUUCCCAUUUUUUGUUUUUUUUUAAUUUUUUAUGCCCGUUUCAAAAUGCGGUCAAAACGACGGGCUUGACCGUUCCUAGCUAGUUGUUGAAUCUUAGAGACCUUUUGAUGUUUCUCUGAUUUAAUAGAUACUUAUGUACCUAGAAAUGAUUUUUACAAAAAAUAAAGAGAAAACUACGAGGUAGCUAAAGUUCAAAUUUGACCCGCUUCCGGCUGAAUCGGCGAGAAUUUGUCCUUUUCACGAGAGGUGGAUCAAACUUUUUACACCCAACCAUUUGGUCAAUUGUGCAUUAAAUAUGUCCUAGUAUUUUCGGAAAUUGAUUUGGUACAAUUUUGCAACAAAUAUAUUAUAGGUUCUUCACAAAAAAACUCAUUUCGGGCACUCGAAAAAUGGAAAAUGAAUUUUUCUUCCAGAGAAAAUGAAAACUUCCAUAGGAAACACUGUCUGCCAUUCAAAGAUGCACCCUUGUGCACAAUAUGAGAUCAUUUGAACAAACUAUGUCAUGAAUGUGGCCAUAAGAUUGAUCAUUUGGCUUGAAAGCCAUGAAACUUCACACAUGAUAGUUCGUUUCUGAGAACACUUUUUUAAAAUAAUUGCCGUAUUACAAGUUUAUUAUAUUUGCUGGAAACUUGGUCACAGAUGAUGACACAAUGCGAAGGUUUUCCAAUUUUGUGAUUUUUUUGAAGUUUUUAUGGCUGUUUCAAAAUGCGGUCAAUACGGCGGGUUGACCGUUCCUAGCUAGUUGUUGAAUCUUGGAGACCUUUUGAUGUUUCUCUGAUUAAAUAGAUACUUAUGUACCUAGAAAUGAUUUUUGGAAAAAAUAAAGAGCAAACUACGAGGUAGCUACGGUUCAAAUUUGACCCGCUUCCGGCUGUAUCGGCGGGAAUUUGUCAUUUUCACGAGAGGUGGAUCAAAACUUUUUACACCCAACCAUUUGGUCAAUUGUGCAUUAAAUAUGUCCUAGUAUUUUAGGAAAUUGAUUUGGUACAAUUUGGCAACAAAUAUAUUAUAGGUCCUUCACAAAAAACUCAUUUCGGGCACUCAAAAAAUGGAAAAUGAAUUUUCCUUCCAAAGAAAAUGAAAACUUCCUUAUGAAACAUUGUCUGCCAUUCCAAGAUGCACCCUUGCGCACAAUAUGAGAUCAUUUGAACAAACUAUGUN
RNAcentral lists this long non-coding RNA (1762 nucleotides) under Triticum aestivum (bread wheat). RNAcentral's name for it is "long non-coding RNA (TAES_LNC019076)". The record is from RNAcentral. Lineage: Eukaryota; Viridiplantae; Streptophyta; Magnoliopsida; Poales; Poaceae.